AGAGUUUGAUCCUGGCUCAGAACGAACGCUGGCGGCGUGGAUAAGACAUGCAAGUCGAACGGGAUUUUUCUUGGUAGCAAUACCGAGGAAAGUUCAGUGGCGAACGGGUGCGUAACACGUGGGCAAUCUGCCGAGAAGUGGGGGAUAGCUCGCCGAAAGGCGAAUUAAUACCGCAUGUGAUCAGAGGCGACAUCGCUUCGAAAUCAAAGGUGGCGCAAGCUACCGCUUUUUGAGGAGCCCGCGGCCUAUCAGCUUGUUGGUGAGGUAACGGCUCACCAAGGCGUUGACGGGUAGCUGGUCUGAGAGGACGACCAGUCACACUGGGACUGAGACACGGCCCAGACACCUACGGGUGGCAGCAGUCGAGAAUUUUUCUCAAUGGGGGAAACCCUGAAGGAGCGACGCCGCGUGGAGGAUGAAGGUCUUCGGGUUGUAAACUCCUGUCAUUUGGGAACAAGGUGCGCGCGUUAACUGCGCGCGCAUUGAUAGUACCAGAAGAGGAAGAGACGGCUAACUCUGUGCCAGCAGCCGCGGUAAUACAGAGGUCUCAAGCGUUGUUCGGAUUCAUUGGGCGUAAAGGGUGCGUAGGUGGCGUGGUAAGUCGGGUGUGAAAUUUCGGAGCUUAACUCCGAAACUGCAUUCGAUACUGCCGUGCUUGAGGACUGGAGAGGAGACUGGAAUUUACGGUGUAGCAGUGAAAUGCGUAGAGAUCGUAAGGAAGACCAGUGGCGAAGGCGGGUCUCUGGACAGUUCCUGACACUGAGGCACGAAGGCCAGGGGAGCAAACGGGAUUAGAUACCCUAGUAGUCC
RNAcentral lists this ribosomal RNA (810 nucleotides) under uncultured bacterium. Its description in RNAcentral is "bacterial SSU rRNA". It matches the Rfam family "Bacterial small subunit ribosomal RNA", at positions 8 to 796 of the family's 1533-position model. The record is from RNAcentral.